Acanthosepion pharaonis is the source of this 97-nucleotide non-coding RNA. The record is from the annotation of a GenBank genome assembly. Lineage: Eukaryota; Metazoa; Mollusca; Cephalopoda; Sepiida; Sepiidae.
AUAUUAGAUUGAAACACUGCUUCACGUACGAUCACAGAAGUUAAGCCACGUCGAACCUGGUCAGUUCCUAGAUGGGUGACCGCUUGGGAAAUACCGG